UACGGAGGGAGCUAGCGUUGUUCGGAAUUACUGGGCGUAAAGCGCACGUAGGCGGCUUUGUAAGUUAGAGGUGAAAGCCUGGAGCUCAACUCCAGAAUAGCCUUUAAGACUGCAUCGCUUGAAUCCAGGAGAGGUGAGUGGAAUUCCGAGUGUAGAGGUGAAAUUCGUAGAUAUUCGCAAGAACACCAGUGGCGAAGGCGGCUCACUGGCCCGGUACUGACGCUGAGGAGCGAAAGCGUGGGGAGCGAACAGG
RNAcentral lists this ribosomal RNA (253 nucleotides) under uncultured bacterium. RNAcentral describes it as "partial 16S ribosomal RNA". It matches the Rfam family "Bacterial small subunit ribosomal RNA", at positions 524 to 776 of the family's 1533-position model. The record is from RNAcentral.